GCCGGGAUGGCGGAAUCGGUAGACGCAUCCGACUUAAAAUCGGCCGCUGCAAAGCGUACGGGUUCAAGUCCCGUUCUCGGCACCA
This 85-nucleotide transfer RNA is filed under the name Deinococcus budaensis. Its description in RNAcentral is "tRNA-Leu". It matches the Rfam family "tRNA". Rfam says of the family: Transfer RNA (tRNA) molecules are approximately 80 nucleotides in length. Lineage: Bacteria; Thermotogati; Deinococcota; Deinococci; Deinococcales; Deinococcaceae. The record is from RNAcentral.